ACGUGUCCGUGCCACGUGGCCUCUGUCCGAGCCGACCCUGGCGUACUUCCCCGACGCCAGGUUCUCGCUCUCGGGCAGGGACCUCGGGGCAGGGGCCGUCGGCC
Mycobacterium sp. djl-10 is the source of this 104-nucleotide non-coding RNA. NCBI's taxonomy places the organism in Bacteria, Bacillati, Actinomycetota, Actinomycetes, Mycobacteriales, Mycobacteriaceae. The record is from Rfam.